Long non-coding RNA from Neopsephotus bourkii (Bourke's parrot), 1260 nucleotides. RefSeq lists it as uncharacterized. NCBI's taxonomy places the organism in Eukaryota, Metazoa, Chordata, Aves, Psittaciformes, Psittacidae. The transcript is spliced from 3 exons. The record is from RefSeq and is a predicted model, not a curated record.
AGGGAAGAAACAAGGAUAUCUGAACCAUUUGCACAACACAGAAGCUCUCCAGCCCUUGUCUGGAAAAGGCUGCAGUGUCACAGCCUCCCGUGGGCAGUCCCUGGGCUCUGGCAGGUUAACUCAGCCAGAGUCUCUCGAAUGCAGAGUUAGGGGUUGCUCCUGGAACUCCUCAGCUCACAUAAACCCAUGGAGCUCAUCCAACAGCCCGUGGCAAGUAGAGAUUGUCUCCUUGGCCAAGAGACCUUUGGAUAGGGCUAAGCAGUCACCACUGGCCAGUCAAAUGCAGAGGUCAAACUCAGCUGCUCUGGAAACAAAGGUAUUCAGAAAACAUACAGGGAUGUGAGGAUCAGUCCUGCACAAAGAGCUAACAAUAGUUUCCUAAAGCUGCAAAGCUCAACGUAGGGUUUGAAGCACCAGGCAUUGUAUUGAUCUGCCUCUGGGCAAAUACCUGGUGCUUUCGCACACAAACCCCAGCCUUUCUGAACGUUUCAGUGUGGAAAUAAGGGGAGUCAGCCCGAGAUAAGAGCCUGCACCAGCUCAGCUGGACCCUGCUGUCACAUCCACAGCAACAGAAGGGGCUGGGACUGGAGAUGCUGUGCUGGGGCGGGGGGGCAGCUGCAGAAGGGACCAGCUGGUGGGAGGGGAUGCUGCUAGGUGGAAGAGGAGCAGUGAUUUAUACCAAUGUGCUCAUCCCCUGUGUCAGCACAGAAGGGUGCUGUGGGAAUAGGGACUGCGUGCUUGGGGUGUGGGGGAUACUCUGUGCUGGGAGGAAGGCAGAGGUUUUGUUGCACUGGCUUUACUCAGUGGUUUUGCUCAACCUCUUAACCCGAACCCGCUGCAGUGCAGCCACCAAAACUUGUCCAUGCUGUAAAACCUUAACGGCUCUGUUCUGUCCCACUUCCAUCUCGUUGGAGGCGACUUUCAUUUCUUUAGUGCCUGAGCAAAUGUUUUGUGUCCCUGGAUGAAAGCCAGGGAGCAUUAUUUACAUACUGUGGGUGAGAAGGCAGCAGACUGGAGCCCAUCACUCAUCAGUGAAAGGAUGAUCAUUGUUUAGCCCAUUCCAAAAUAAUGGCUCUGCUGGGAACACCAACCCAGUAUGCAUCAUGUCUUUUAUAGUAUAUAUUAAUUUAGUGUAGACAUUAGGCCAUCGUUAUUUUCUCCUUUUAAUUCCCAUGUAUUAGCAUUCAGGAUCGGUUUUAACCCAGCACACAUCUUUGUCAUUUCUUAAUGUAAAAUAAAUAACGCUGGAGGCAAACAUCU